UACGUAGGGUGCGAGCGUUGUCCGGAAUUACUGGGCGUAAAGAAGCUCGUAGGUGGUUUGUCACGUCGUCUGUGAAAUUCCGGGGCUUAAACCUCGGGCGUGCAGGCGAUACGGGCAAUAACUUGAGUGCUGUAGGGGAGACUGGAAUUCCUGGUGUAGCGGUGAAAUGCGCAGAUAUCAGGAGGAACACCAAAUGGCGAAGGCAGGUCUCUGGGCAGUUACUGACGCUGAGAGCGAAAGCAAUGGGUAGCGAACAGGAUUAGAUA
This 266-nucleotide ribosomal RNA is filed under the name uncultured prokaryote. RNAcentral describes it as "partial 16S ribosomal RNA". It matches the Rfam family "Bacterial small subunit ribosomal RNA", at positions 524 to 784 of the family's 1533-position model. The record is from RNAcentral.